RNAcentral lists this ribosomal RNA (692 nucleotides) under uncultured bacterium. RNAcentral's name for it is "bacterial SSU rRNA". It matches the Rfam family "Bacterial small subunit ribosomal RNA", at positions 227 to 916 of the family's 1533-position model. The record is from RNAcentral.
GGGGUCGCGUCCUAUCAGCUUGUUGGCGGGGUGAUGGCCCACCAAGGCGUUGACGGGUAGCCGGCCUGAGAGGGUGACCGGCCACAUUGGGACUGAGAUACGGCCCAGACUCCUACGGGAGGCAGCAGUGGGGAAUAUUGCACAAUGGGCGCAAGCCUGAUGCAGCGACGCCGCGUGCGGGAUGGAGGCCUUCGGGUUGUAAACCGCUUUUGUUCAAGGGCAAGGCACGGCUUCGGGCCGUGUUGAGUGGAUUGUUCGAAUAAGCACCGGCUAACUACGUGCCAGCAGCCGCGGUAAUACGUAGGGUGCGAGCGUUAUCCGGAUUUAUUGGGCGUAAAGGGCUCGUAGGCGGUUCGUCGCGUCCGGUGUGAAAGUCCAUCGCCUAACGGUGGAUCUGCGCCGGGUACGGGCGGGCUGGAGUGCGGUAGGGGAGACUGGAAUUCCCGGUGUAACGGUGGAAUGUGUAGAUAUCGGGAAGAACACCAAUGGCGAAGGCAGGUCUCUGGGCCGUUACUGACGCUGAGGAGCGAAAGCGUGGGGAGCGAACAGGAUUAGAUACCCUGGUAGUCCACGCCGUAAACGGUGGAUGCUGGAUGUGGGGCCCUUUCCACGGGUCCUGUGUCGGAGCCAACGCGUUAAGCAUCCCGCCUGGGGAGUACGGCCGCAAGGCUAAAACUCAAAGGAAUUGACGG